UCCCUGGUGGUCCAGUGGUUAGGAUUCCAUACUCUCACUGUGGAGGGCCCAGGCUCAAUCCCUGGUCAGGGAA
Balaenoptera musculus (blue whale) is the source of this 73-nucleotide non-coding RNA. Lineage: Eukaryota; Metazoa; Chordata; Mammalia; Artiodactyla; Balaenopteridae. The record is from the annotation of a RefSeq genome assembly.